GAUGAACGCUGGCGGCGUGCCUAAUACAUGCAAGUCGAGCGAACAGACGAGGAGCUUGCUCCUCUGACGUUAGCGGCGGACGGGUGAGUAACACGUGGAUAACCUACCUAUAAGACUGGGAUAACUUCGGGAAACCGGAGCUAAUACCGGAUAAUAUAUUGAACCGCAUGGUUCAAUAGUGAAAGACGGUUUUGCUGUCACUUAUAGAUGGAUCCGCGCCGCAUUAGCUAGUUGGUAAGGUAACAGCUUACCAAGGCAACGAUGCGUAGCCGACCUGAGAGGGUGAUCGGCCACACUGGAACUGAGACACGGUCCAGACUCCUACGGGAGGCAGCAGUAGGGAAUCUUCCGCAAUGGGCGAAAGCCUGACGGAGCAACGCCACGUGAGUGAUGAAGGUCUUCGGAUCGUAAAACUCUGUUAUUAGGGAAGAACAAAUGUGUAAGUAACUAUGCACGUCUUGACGGUACCUAAUCAGAAAGCCACGGCUAACUACGUG
RNAcentral lists this ribosomal RNA (497 nucleotides) under uncultured bacterium. RNAcentral describes it as "partial 16S ribosomal RNA". It matches the Rfam family "Bacterial small subunit ribosomal RNA", at positions 28 to 507 of the family's 1533-position model. The record is from RNAcentral.